This 221-nucleotide unclassified non-coding RNA is filed under the name plant metagenome. RNAcentral describes it as "partial contains small subunit ribosomal RNA and internal transcribed spacer 1". The stretch from base 1 to 46 matches the Rfam family "Eukaryotic small subunit ribosomal RNA", at positions 1786 to 1831 of the family's 1831-position model. The record is from RNAcentral.
AAGUCGUAACAAGGUUUCCGUAGGUGAACCUGCGGAAGGAUCAUUACAAGGUUCUUAGUGACAUCUCGAAAGAGAUCCCUCCCAAGUAUCCCACCCGUGUCUUUAUACUCUUGUUGCUUUGGCGGGGCGUGGCCUCCACUGCGGGCUCUGCUCGUACGUACCCGCCAGAGGACCAAACUCUGAAUGUUAGUGAUGUCUGAGUACUAUAUAAUAGUUAAAAC